GAUGAACGCUAGCUACAGGCUUAACACAUGCAAGUCGAGGGGCAGCAUGGUCUUAGCUUGCUAAGGCCGAUGGCGACCGGCGCACGGGUGAGUAACACGUAUCCAACCUGCCGUCUACUCUUGGACAGCCUUCUGAAAGGAAGAUUAAUACAAGAUGGCAUCAUGAGUCCGCAUGUUCACAUGAUUAAAGGUAUUCCGGUAGACGAUGGGGAUGCGUUCCAUUAGAUAGUAGGCGGGGUAACGGCCCACCUAGUCUUCGAUGGAUAGGGGUUCUGAGAGGAAGGUCCCCCACAUUGGAACUGAGACACGGUCCAAACUCCUACGGGAGGCAGCAGUGAGGUAGAUUGGUCAAUGGGCGAGAGCCUGAACCAGCCAAGUAGCGUGAAGGAUGACUGCCCUAUGGGUUGUAAACUUCUUUUAUAAAGGAAUAAAGUCGGGUAUGGAUACCCGUUUGCAUGUACUUUAUGAAUAAGGAUCGGCUAACUCCGUG
RNAcentral lists this ribosomal RNA (490 nucleotides) under uncultured bacterium. Its description in RNAcentral is "partial 16S ribosomal RNA". It matches the Rfam family "Bacterial small subunit ribosomal RNA", at positions 28 to 507 of the family's 1533-position model. The record is from RNAcentral.